RNAcentral lists this ribosomal RNA (442 nucleotides) under Streptococcus intermedius. Its description in RNAcentral is "bacterial SSU rRNA". It matches the Rfam family "Bacterial small subunit ribosomal RNA", at positions 28 to 452 of the family's 1533-position model. The record is from RNAcentral. Lineage: Bacteria; Bacillati; Bacillota; Bacilli; Lactobacillales; Streptococcaceae.
GACGAACGCUGGCGGCGUGCCUAAUACAUGCAAGUAGAACGCACAGGAUACACCGUAGUUUACUACACCGUAUUCUGUGAGUUGCGAACGGGUGAGUAACGCGUAGGUAACCUGCCUGGUAGCGGGGGAUAACUAUUGGAAACGAUAGCUAAUACCGCAUAAGAACAUUUACUGCAUGGUAGAUGUUUAAAAGGUGCAAAUGCAUCACUACCAGAUGGACCUGCGUUGUAUUAGCUAGUAGGUGAGGUAACGGCUCACCUAGGCGACGAUACAUAGCCGACCUGAGAGGGUGAUCGGCCACACUGGGACUGAGACACGGCCCAGACUCCUACGGGAGGCAGCAGUAGGGAAUCUUCGGCAAUGGGGGGAACCCUGACCGAGCAACGCCGCGUGAGUGAAGAAGGUUUUCGGAUCGUAAAGCUCUGUUGUUAAGGAAGAACGA